Molecule: ribosomal RNA, 311 nt
Filed under: uncultured eukaryote
Lineage: Eukaryota
Description: partial 18S ribosomal RNA
Rfam family: Eukaryotic small subunit ribosomal RNA
Source: RNAcentral
CCCCUAGACGUUCUGGGCUGCACGCGCGCUACAAUAAUACGCACAGCGAGUAUCACCGAGCUCGAAAGGGCAAGGUAAACAAUAGAAAAGGUACUGUAAUGGUUAUAGAUCCUUGUAAUUAUUGAUCUUCAACGAGGAAUUCCUAGUAAGUAUGUGUCAUCAUCACGCACUGAUUACGUCCCUGCCCUUUGUACACACCGCCCGUCGCUCCUACCGAGUGGGUGAGCCGAUGAAACUCUCGGAUGUAGGCUAUUCAUAGCCCGCAGAAGAGAUUUGAAUCGUAGCGCUUAGAGGAAGGAGAAGUCGUAACA